CUUAGGACUUCUGGUCUUUCCUCGCCUUAGUCGUUGCCUCUGGGCGCCUCAUUCCCUUCCCCCAACCCCCCCACCCCGACCCCGGCAGGACUUAACCUGGCUGUGCAGAUUGACCCGAGGGUGAGGAGAGGGAGUCUCCUGCAGUUCGUACGUCCAGACUGUCCGACCAACACCUUGCCUGAGACGGACGCUGUCAGUUCUUAACUGUUACUGGCUCAGCUGCGUGGCUUCUUAUUUACAUUUAGAGCCGAAGAGCCAGACCCCCACCCCAAGGGCCUCCACCCUGCUCCGCAGGAGCUACAAAGCGGUCUGGAAUCUAGGGAGAAAGGAUAUCACCAAGCCCUUGGCUCUUACCAGUCCUGUUCCCCAAGCCUGGCAAGUUGCUGGCUAUAUGUUUCUAAGAGAUAUCAGUGAAAGCUCUGCCUUUGUUGGAAGCCACUGCAGCUCAGGCACCUGCAAGUAUUACGUUCAUGUAUUGAUGACCCUGCCCAAGAACGAAGACCCCCAAAUCCGAGGCCCUUGCUGCUUGUUUCCUUGAACUAACAGAUGGAAGUUGGACCCAGCACUCUUAAAGCGAACUAAGCUCUGGGAGCAAUAUUUACCCGGAUGUUUCUUUGAUCAUUUCUAGCACGAGGAGACCUAGCAACGUUUCAGAACCGAAGGGUUACACCGUGUUCCUGUGUCUGAAGUUCUUCCUGCUGCUACCACCAAGCUACAACUAAGGAGUAAUAUAUUUCAUGGGUUCUCUAGCUUCAACACCUUUUCCAGAGUAUCCACAGAUGACAGUGUAACUCAACAAAUAAACUGGCAGAUUUGGACUACUGGGGAAAUGCAUCUUUCCAUUCCAGAAUGUCUUCUCAAGCAGCAAGAAUUGGGCCAGGGCUGUAAGACAGUGCUACCACAUGGAGUCAGUGCUGUGCUCCGUGUCCUGUAAUAAGCAGCCGAGUGCCCAGCUGGUGUUCCUCUCGCACUCUGGGCUUAUCUCAACCUUGGACUUAACUCGUUGUACCACACCUUCUGGUCUGCCUCCUGCACUAAUGCCAUGUGAGUUCCCAAGGGCAGAAAGCAUCAUGCCUUACAACUCUGUAUCUCAGGUCCCAGCUCAGUGCUAACACCUGGUAGAUACUCCACAAAUGUUUGCAGACAAAAGAAUGCAAAGCAUGCUUAACUGUCCAAAUAGAAGGAAUAGCCGUUGUUUUCUAUAAUAUACUAUAAUUUCAUUGUCA
This is a long non-coding RNA of Acinonyx jubatus (cheetah), 1226 nucleotides long. RefSeq lists it as uncharacterized. The record is from RefSeq and is a predicted model, not a curated record. NCBI's taxonomy places the organism in Eukaryota, Metazoa, Chordata, Mammalia, Carnivora, Felidae. The transcript has 2 exons.